Salvelinus sp. IW2-2015 is the source of this 989-nucleotide long non-coding RNA. RefSeq lists it as uncharacterized. NCBI's taxonomy places the organism in Eukaryota, Metazoa, Chordata, Actinopteri, Salmoniformes, Salmonidae. The record is from RefSeq and is a predicted model, not a curated record.
UCCUAAGGUUAAAUUGGAGGGUCAGCACGUGGCUUGGUGAGUGUGAAGCUGGACAUUUUCGUCUCAUUUGAAUUAAACAAUAUAGCUAGAUAGUUCCUUUCCUCAGCAGUCAUGUUUUAUUUAUGUAGCCAGUAGACGAAUUCCCUCGAUGUGGCUAGCUAACGUUAGCAGCUUGCUAGAAAAAGUAGGCUAAUUGUAGAACGUCAGCAGGAAGCUCAUGUUGGCUAAGUAGUUAGCUAUAGCUACUUAAACGUUUGUAUGGAACUUUCAAUUUUUUAUUUCGACUUGAGGCAAAUCAAGUGUUAGGCUAAAUCAAAACGAGAUAUAUUUGCCAAUACCCAAGAGGAGUGAACCUUUCUAUGGACACUGCUUAACUAGCAAGUUACCUGGGGCAUUGCGGUGUCUGGCACGUUGUCUGAAACGUCUCCUAUGAUGUUUUACACUGGGCUCUGAGAACUCUGUGGCGAAAAAGUGCUCUCUGGCUCUGACAGGCCUGAGUCUGAGGAUAAUGUUAGUCUGAGUCUUGUAGAUUUUUAUUAAUGCUCAUUGAUUAUUGUCCUAAUGGAACUUAUUUCCCCCAAAGGUGACAAGGCUAAGUCGAUACCAAACUACAAGAUCUUGGACCUCCACAGAAGAUGAGUGGUGAUUAACAUGGGGUGAGAUCUUCAAUGGAUAACUUAAGGGCCUGUGUUUUGCACGAGGCGCUGUUUUACCUGCAUUUCCAGCAUUAUCCAGCUGGUGUCACUUCAGUCCCUUUAUUUGUUUCAAUCAACCAGCUCACCAAUUUAUCAAAGCAAUAAGGAUUAUUUCCCCAACAUGARCAAGAUUGCGAAACAAUAUCCCUUUUGCUAAUAAUUCUGUAGAUGUGGGAAGAAUUGUUAAUACAAGGGCUGACUCAUCAAUGGAAAUGUGCUGACCUAAGUGAGAUUUUUUAUUAAUGUUCCUGAUUGUUAUGUAAGUCUGAAACAUUAAAAUAUUUUUAUCAGAUA